AGAAAUAGGCUAAGCUGGGUAGUUUCGAGUAAAACGGAAACCCCAGCCGGAAGCAGGCCCCGAUAUAAAAGCUGAAAGGGAAAACGUGGAAUUCAAAUCACACACUGAAAAAAAUUCGAAAGCCACAAGACAAUCUAGAUCCAAUAUAGAUUCGUCAAUGGGAAAGAUGAGGUCAAGCACUGUCAAGUAAAUGAACAUUGGACGGAUAUGGUUUUGCUCUGGAAUAUGCUUUACAGAAAUGAAUUUUUUUGUGCGUCAUUCGAGGCGGCACAUUGGUUUUAUUUUUACGUUAAGCCUUGAAGCUGGGGACUUCUUCCUGCCUUUUGCGGAGUCCAAAUAAAGAUGCGACAAUGAAUGAUUAUUUUGUGAAACGAGAAA
Drosophila serrata is the source of this 378-nucleotide long non-coding RNA. The record is from RefSeq and is a predicted model, not a curated record. NCBI's taxonomy places the organism in Eukaryota, Metazoa, Arthropoda, Insecta, Diptera, Drosophilidae.